Molecule: unclassified non-coding RNA, 141 nt
Filed under: uncultured Preussia
Lineage: Eukaryota; Fungi; Ascomycota; Dothideomycetes; Pleosporales; Sporormiaceae
Description: sequence contains ITS1
Source: RNAcentral
UCGUGGGGCUUCGGCCCUCUCGAGAUAGAACCCUUGCCUUUUUGAGUACCUUUCGUUUCCUCGGCGGGCUCGCCCGCCAACGGGGACCACAAUAAACCCUUUUGUAAUACCUGUAAUCGUCUGACGAAACAAACAAAAUUA